This 497-nucleotide ribosomal RNA is filed under the name uncultured bacterium. RNAcentral's name for it is "partial 16S ribosomal RNA". It matches the Rfam family "Bacterial small subunit ribosomal RNA", at positions 28 to 507 of the family's 1533-position model. The record is from RNAcentral.
GAUGAACGCUGGCGGCGUGCCUAAUACAUGCAAGUCGAGCGAACGGACGAGAAGCUUGCUUUUCUGAUGUUAGCGGCGGACGGGUGAGUAACACGUGGAUAACCUACCUAUAAGACUUGGAUAACUUCGGGAAACCGGAGCUAAUACCGGAUAAUAUUUUGAACCGCAUGGUUCAAAAGUGAAAGACGGUCUUGCUGUCACUUAUAGAUGGAUCCGCGCUGCAUUAGCUAGUUGGUAAGGUAACGGCUUACCAAGGCAACGAUGCAUAGCCGACCUGAGAGGGUGAUCGGCCACACUGGAACUGAGACACGGUCCAGACUCCUACGGGAGGCAGCAGUAGGGAAUCUUCCGCAAAGGGCGAAAGCCUGACGGAGCAACGCCGCGUGAGUGAUGAAGGUCUUCGGAUCGUAAAACUCUGUUAUUAGGGAAGAACAUAUGUGUAAGUAACUGUGCACAUCUUGACGGUACCUAAUCAGAAAGCCACGGCUAACUACGUG